RNAcentral lists this ribosomal RNA (122 nucleotides) under Carassius auratus (goldfish). Lineage: Eukaryota; Metazoa; Chordata; Actinopteri; Cypriniformes; Cyprinidae. The record is from RNAcentral.
GCUUACUGCCAUACCAGCCUGGCUAUGCCCGAUCUCGUCUGAUCUCGGAAGCUAAGCAGGUUUGGGCCUGGUUAGUACUUGGAUGGGAGACAGCCUGGGAAUAAUACCAGGUGCUCUAAGAA